This 411-nucleotide ribosomal RNA is filed under the name Triticum aestivum (bread wheat). RNAcentral's name for it is "partial small subunit ribosomal RNA". Lineage: Eukaryota; Viridiplantae; Streptophyta; Magnoliopsida; Poales; Poaceae. The record is from RNAcentral.
AUGGGGGUGUUUAAACUGAAUCAAAGCUUCUGUGAUAGCUAUGAGAAAAUCAUAAGGGAUUUCUGGUGGGGGGGUAAAGAUGAUCACCGGAAAGUGCAUUGGAUGGCGUGGAAGAAUAUGACUAAACCAAAAAGAGAUGGGGGUAUAGGUUUCAGAGAUAUGCAUCUAUUUAACCAAGCACUUUUAGCGAGACAGGGAUGGAGACUACUACAAAACCCAGACAGUCUAUGCGCCAGAGUACUUAAGUCUAAGUACUAUCCCAACGGAGAACUUGUGGACACGGUCUUUGCCUCAGAUGCCUCCCCUGCCUGGCGUGGGAUCGAAUUUGGCUUGGAGCUGUUAAAAAAAGGACUAAUUUGGCGCGUUGGAAACGGAAGGAAAAUACAAAUUAUAAGAGACCAGUGGAUCCCA